AAACUCUGGUUUCUCUUCAGGUUGUAUAAAUCUUUUGCCUUUUACUAAAGAUUUCCGCAGAGAGGAACAUUUAUGAGUUUGUAACUAUUUCUUUUGUGAGCCAGUUUGGCCUU
This 113-nucleotide small nuclear RNA is filed under the name Salvator merianae (Argentine black and white tegu). RNAcentral's name for it is "U5 spliceosomal RNA (ENSSMRG00000017599.1)". It matches the Rfam family "U5 spliceosomal RNA". Rfam says of the family: U5 RNA is a component of both types of known spliceosome. The precise function of this molecule is unknown, though it is known that the 5' loop is required for splice site selection and p220 binding, and that both the 3' stem-loop and the Sm site are important for Sm protein binding and cap methylation. The record is from RNAcentral. Lineage: Eukaryota; Metazoa; Chordata; Lepidosauria; Squamata; Teiidae.